GAUGAACGCUGGCGGCGUGCCUAACACAUGCAAGUCGAGCGGGAAAUCCGUGACGGAUCCUUCGGGUGACGGAUCGGAUGGAGAGCGGCGGACGGGUGAGUAACGCGUAGGUAACCUGCCCUGUACAGAGGGAUAGCCACUGGAAACGGUGAUUAAUACCUCAUAAUGCCGGAUCUGCACAUGCAGGACCGGUCAAAGUUUUUUCGGUACAGGAUGGACCUGCGUCUGAUUAGCUUGUUGGUGGGGUAACGGCUCACCAAGGCGACGAUCAGUAGCCGACCUGAGAGGGUGAUCGGCCACAUUGGAACUGAGACACGGUCCAAACUCCUACGGGAGGCAGCAGUGGGGAAUAUUGCACAAUGGGGGAAACCCUGAUGCAGCAACGCCGCGUGAACGAAGAAGGCUCUUGGGUCGUAAAGUUCUGUUCUGAGGGAAGAAGAAAGUGACGGUACCUCAGGAGAAAGCCCCGGCUAACUACGUGCCAGCCGCCGCGGUAA
RNAcentral lists this ribosomal RNA (497 nucleotides) under uncultured Clostridiaceae bacterium. Its description in RNAcentral is "bacterial SSU rRNA". It matches the Rfam family "Bacterial small subunit ribosomal RNA", at positions 28 to 523 of the family's 1533-position model. Lineage: Bacteria; Bacillati; Bacillota; Clostridia; Eubacteriales; Clostridiaceae. The record is from RNAcentral.